Molecule: non-coding RNA, 341 nt
Organism: Chiloscyllium plagiosum (whitespotted bambooshark)
Lineage: Eukaryota; Metazoa; Chordata; Chondrichthyes; Orectolobiformes; Hemiscylliidae
Source: the annotation of a RefSeq genome assembly
ACGUGAACUCAGUGACUGUCCACCAGACUCCCCCAUAUGUUUCCAAAGUUGUUAGCGACAGUGUGGAACUGAAGUGUAUGGUUGAGGUAGCCAGUGAUGAUUACAUGUACUGGUAUAGACAAUAUCCAGGGAAGGAACUUCAGCUAUUGUUUUACUCCAGUACUACACAGUAUGUGAUUCCAGACGGGACAGUGGACGGUUUCAGCGCUGAGCGACCAAGUGCUUCUGUGUUUAAGCUGAAGUCCUCCAGCCUUCAAGCGAAUCAUUCAGCCGUGUAUUACUGCGCCUGGAGUCUUCACAGUGACGCAGAGAGAGGGAGCAGUUCAACAAAAGCCUCCUGA